This 450-nucleotide ribosomal RNA is filed under the name uncultured bacterium. Its description in RNAcentral is "bacterial SSU rRNA". It matches the Rfam family "Bacterial small subunit ribosomal RNA", at positions 328 to 792 of the family's 1533-position model. The record is from RNAcentral.
AUGCCAGACUCCUACGGGAGGCAGCAGUGGGGGAUAUUGGACAAUGGGGGAAACCCUGAUCCAGCGACGCCGCGUGAGUGAAGAAGUAUUUCGGUCUGUAAAGCUCUGUCAGCAGGGAAGAAAGAAAUGACGGUACCUGACCAAGAAGCCCCGGCUAACUACGUGCCAGCAGCCGCGGUAAUACGUAGGGGGCGAGCGUUAUCCGGAUUCACUGGGUGUAAAGGGAGCGUAGACGGCCAUGCAAGCCAGGGGUGAAAGCCCGGGGCCCAACCCCGGGACUGCCCUUGGAACUGCAUGGCUGGAGUGCGGGGGGGGCAGGCGGAAUUCCUGGUGUAGCGGUGAAAUGCGUAGAUAUCAGGAGGAACACCGGUGGCGAAGGCGGCCUGCUGGACUGCAACUGACGUUGAGGCCCGAAAGCGUGGGGAGCAAACAGGAUUAGAUACCCGUGUA